UACGGGGGGGGCAAGCGUUGUUCGGAAUUACUGGGCGUAAAGGGCUUGUAGGUGGCCAACUAAGUCAGACGUGAAAUCCCUCGGCUUAACCGGGGAACUGCGUCUGAUACUGGAUGGCUAGAGUGUGGGAGAGGGAUGCGGAAUUCCAGGUGUAGCGGUGAAAUGCGUAGAUAUCGGGAGGAACACCAGUGGCGAAGGCGACUACCUGGCCUGUUCUUGACGCUGAGGCGCGAAAGCUAGGGGAGCAAACGGG
Molecule: ribosomal RNA, 253 nt
Filed under: uncultured bacterium
Lineage: Bacteria
Description: partial 16S ribosomal RNA
Rfam family: Bacterial small subunit ribosomal RNA
Source: RNAcentral